This 546-nucleotide ribosomal RNA is filed under the name Alternaria alternata. RNAcentral's name for it is "eukaryotic LSU rRNA". The stretch from base 181 to 334 matches the Rfam family "5.8S ribosomal RNA". The record is from RNAcentral. Lineage: Eukaryota; Fungi; Ascomycota; Dothideomycetes; Pleosporales; Pleosporaceae.
GCGGAGGGAUCAUUACACAAAUAUGAAGGCGGGCUGGAACCUCUCGGGGUUACAGCCUUGCUGAAUUAUUCACCCUUGUCUUUUGCGUACUUCUUGUUUCCUUGGUGGGUUCGCCCACCACUAGGACAAACAUAAACCUUUUGUAAUUGCAAUCAGCGUCAGUAACAAAUUAAUAAUUACAACUUUCAACAACGGAUCUCUUGGUUCUGGCAUCGAUGAAGAACGCAGCGAAAUGCGAUAAGUAGUGUGAAUUGCAGAAUUCAGUGAAUCAUCGAAUCUUUGAACGCACAUUGCGCCCUUUGGUAUUCCAAAGGGCAUGCCUGUUCGAGCGUCAUUUGUACCCUCAAGCUUUGCUUGGUGUUGGGCGUCUUGUCUCUAGCUUUGCUGGAGACUCGCCUUAAAGUAAUUGGCAGCCGGCCUACUGGUUUCGGAGCGCAGCACAAGUCGCACUCUCUAUCAGCAAAGGUCUAGCAUCCAUUAAGCCUUUUUUUCAACUUUUGACCUCGGAUCAGGUAGGGAUACCCGCUGAACUUAAGCAUAUCAUAA